UGCAACCAGAGAUAACAGCCAGCGCCUGGCCGCCAUCGAGACGCCACAGCCUGCUUCCCACCCCUCUGGAUUUAGCAGAAAUGGGCUGCAAUGUCAGCGCUGACACACCGCUCGGGUUGGGCUCUGCUGUGCUGCACGCGCCCAGGCAUCACACAGGUUAGAGGUGUUACUGGACAGGCUUUCCAGGAUCUUUUGCAUCACAGCCCAGAGGCAGCUUUAUACCAGUACAAAGAGGUCCUCACAGACCUGCUUCUGUGUUGGUACGCAGUUUUUGGAAGGGAGAAACGGGGAGCUGAUUCCAGCCCCGGAGCAGCUGUUUAUUCAAGUGGUACCAGUGGAUCUGAUGGGACAGCACCUGGGACAACCCUCUGCCUCCGCAGCCUGCUGAGCAGCCGCCUGAGAGCCGCCUGCAAAGCCCAGCUCUCCCGGCAGCCCCCAGGUCUCGUGGGGCAGAGCAGCCCGGCUGACCUGCCCGAUGCUCAGAUGCACUGUGUUUUGGUGGGGGGGGGGGGGUCCCGGUGCAUCCUCCCUGCAUCCGCAGAGGUCCUGGGGCUUGGAUGCUCAUCCCAGCGUUGCUGAGGUCCCAAGACUUGGGCAAAGCAGGGCCUGAAGCUCAUGACUGAUUAUGCCCAGCUCCCCACAGCAUCCAGCAGAUCCCCUUCCUCCAGCAUCAGAAAUGACCCACGGACCCUGCCGCUCUCCAGAGGCCACUUUAUUCUGGGACCUGAGAUGUCAGGCAGAAAAGCGACCUCAAAAUCAGCAUCGCUUGCCUGCCACAGUCGGACGGGUCUCAUGAAUAUGCCUGGGGCUGAGCCUGCUUUCUGCAGCAGGAUACUUCAGCUAUCCCUGCCACGCCGCUGUGGCAGGUCCCCAACCGUAAAUCGAGCGUGUCAUGAGUCUGCAGCCAUGCCGGUCUCUGCUGAGUCACGCCAGCCGCUCCCAGGGCCGGGCGGCCGGCAAGCCGUGAUAAUCUGCACGGCGCAAACAGGCGCCCGGCUGGCAGCGAUAAGGGCGGCGCUCGGACCGGAGCAAUUUCUGCUGUGUCAGACUUCUGACGCGGCAGAAAAUAAUUCUGCUGAGGCAGCGUGGUGACCAGCUGAAAAAUACCUAGUGUUUUUUUUUU
This is a long non-coding RNA of Dromaius novaehollandiae (emu), 1123 nucleotides long. RefSeq lists it as uncharacterized. The transcript is spliced from 3 exons. The record is from RefSeq and is a predicted model, not a curated record. Lineage: Eukaryota; Metazoa; Chordata; Aves; Casuariiformes; Dromaiidae.